GGCAAUCAGGUCCCCUCCUUCACCCCUUUCUCUUACUCUUUUAAACUUCCUGUAGACUCCUUCCGUCUCUAACCCGCCUACUGAUUUUUCUUUUGUUUCUGUGUUUAUUGGGUAUAGUUUUUUUCUUUAGCAAUGGAGGUGGGUAGUGUCAGUUCUGUGGAGAGGACCUUGUGGGCAUGCUCUGUUAUGGAAGCUAUGGUGGUAGAGACUGCACUUGCAGCUUGGAAGUCUCUUGCUUAUCUGUUCUUUGUGGUUGGAUCAUUACCUGAUGAUAUCGAUGCAUCACCAAAAUUAACUGCAAUGGAUGAGAGGUUUCCUCUAAAUGAACUUUUCAAGAUCAAGCACCCUGAUGCAGAAAACAAAGAUGCUAGUGAUACAGAAGAUGAUGAUGAAGAAGAUGAUGAUACUCAAUUCGGUAGUCCUCGAUUGCGAUGCAUUUUGUGUACUACUGCUGCCAGUUGAGAUGGAACGUUGGUUUUCUUUAUCCGAGUCCCUUUUCUCUUUGGCUGGGGAGUGGGGAAGGGGUUGGAAUUGUGCUAGUUUUCACCAUUUUAUCAGGCUUUUCUUUCCUUUUUUUUCCCCCUUCAUUUUUUUGUGUUAAUAUAUGGUAAGUGUGGUAUUCAUCAGCUUGCCAUUUUUGGUCGAGUUUCAAUUGCUUUAUUAUAAUCUUUUUUUUUCUUUAUAUAUAUAUAUUUACGGAUGAAUGCCACGUGUAUUUGCAUAUGUAGAUGUUUUAGUAACUCAAAAAUAUAUUUACUCUUGACUCACUAGAUUUUAUUCUCUGUAUAGUUAUAGGCAGCACUCUUUGAUUCCUUCCUUAGUAUUGUUUUUAGGCCAGCCUUAGUUGAUGAAAAUUGAAUUUAUUGUUUUCGAUGAUAAAGUAGAAGAAAACAAUAUGGCAAGAAGUAGGGUUGAUUCAUUUAAGCAUGACCUCUUGUGGGUCUCCAUAAAGUAAGUGGAAACAAGUAUCUUCAUUCUGCAUAAGACAAGGUUAUGGGUUCUUCACUACUCUCACUUCCUUUGUGAGCUAUCAUAAUCAUAGGAAUUAAUGAUGGAUGGAAUUAAUCAAUGUCGAAGUACGUUAGGAAUAACCUAUUUAAAAUCCUUCAUUCUGAUUCCUAAAUGUGGUUAUAUGAUGGAUCGAAUUAAUCCAUGUCACAGUAUCUUAGGAGUGUUUAAAUCCUUCAUCAUGUUUCCUAAAUAAUUUAGCUUGCAUUUUGUUGAAUCAAGUAAAUGGCAGUAUAAUUUUUUCACCAUUGUACCACAAAGUCAAACAAGGCUGUGUUCAUAAUGGUUUAGCUAGAGCUUUUUGCUUGACCAGAAAUGUUUGGUUUGGUUGGGUUCUUCUGUUUCUCACUCUCGUUCUGAUUGCCAUACAUCAAAAGUUCAGAACACAGCAAGAUAGCUGAGCCACAUAGGCAACGUUUUGGCAUCAUGCUGGAUCUGUUAGCGUCUGUAUUUCAAUUUGUUGUGGUUUAUUUUACUUUUUAUUUCAGCAUUUGUGCCCCAAUUACUAAUUAAUACAAGAACAUCUUGUUUAUUAAUCUGAAAGCUGUAUCCUUGGCACAUGCGUUUUUAUGCUAUUGUUGUUGCAGGAACUAAUGACUUUGCUGCAGGUAUAUCUUUCUCCACUACAGAGAAGUCGUUAGCUGAGGCAUUUUCAAAAUUUGGUCAAGUCGUGGAAUGUAUGGGGUUAACCUGUUACUUUAACCUUAAAACUCAUUUCUUUCUUGAGUACAUUUCAAAAUUUGGUCAUAUCUAGGCAAUUUACAUUUCCAGCUGAAAUAAUAAGGGAUAAAGCUAGCAACAAAUCAAAAGGUUACGGGUAUGUGACCUUUGCUACAGAGGAUGAAGCCAAAAAGGCCUUUAUGGAGAUGAAUGGGAAGGUAAACUGCUUUACCAAUAGUUAAUUCUAUGAAUUAUGAAUACAAAGAAUAACACUAGUCAAUUGCAGCUGGUAGAUGGACGUCCUGUUGUCGUGGAUAAUGCUUGACCAAGGGAAGCAGAGGACUAGUGAGGCAGUAGCUUAUAUUAGGUUCUCCCUUCUUCCCCAUUAUUUUUUUAUGUAUGUAUUAUGAUGCAGAGAAGAUUUGUGCAUCAGACUCAGUUUUGGUCAACAGAAUAUAUACCCUUUUCUUCUAUUGUGAUUCAUCCAAAUAGCUGCGAAAGUGCUUGAGCUGCUGAGUAGUGAAAAUCCAUGCACUCUCACUCCUCUCUCCUUUCUUUACACUGACUCUGCUUAAUGAUUCCUUCUGCCAAAAUUUGGCCCUGCUAGCUGAAGAGAGAUUGAGAAUUGGAGCAUGCAUCAAUAAUCGAGUAAUUUCAUUUAUUUUUUUGCCAAUAUAGAACUUUUCCUUUCAUUGUUAGCUAGUUUGUUUUUCAAUUAACUUCGUAUCUGGCAUUCUAGUUUAUUCAUCAUAAAAUUCUCCAGUUACGAUUUUACAGUCGGAUCAUCAAGAAUGAUUUGUUCCAAUUUUAACUCGGUGAAAAUCAGAAUGCAAGGGCCCUAUUGAUGGCUAAAAGAAAGUAGCAAAUACCCAUUUGUUUCUACUUGUCAGCUGAUGUGUUUGUUUAUGCCCUUUACUUUCAAGCUGAUUGAUGCUCCUGGACAAUAAUAGGCCAACACGUGCUAUAAAAAGGGAGGAUUAUGGAAUUAUACCAAUGUUGGUUCCA
Molecule: unclassified non-coding RNA, 2673 nt
Filed under: Hevea brasiliensis (rubber tree)
Lineage: Eukaryota; Viridiplantae; Streptophyta; Magnoliopsida; Malpighiales; Euphorbiaceae
Source: RNAcentral